RNAcentral lists this ribosomal RNA (253 nucleotides) under uncultured bacterium. RNAcentral describes it as "partial 16S ribosomal RNA". It matches the Rfam family "Bacterial small subunit ribosomal RNA", at positions 524 to 776 of the family's 1533-position model. The record is from RNAcentral.
UACGUAGGUGGCAAGCGUUGUCCGGAAUUAAUGGGCGUAAAGCGCGCGCAGGUGGUUCCUUAAGUCUGAUGUGAAAGCCCACGGCUCAACCGUGGAGGGUCAUUGGAAACUGGGGAACUUGAGUGCAGAAGAGGAAAGUGGAAUUCCAAGUGUAGCGGUGAAAUGCGUAGAGAUUUGGAGGAACACCAGUGGCGAAGGCGACUUUCUGGUCUGUAACUGACACUGAGGCGCGAAAGCGUGGGGAGCAAACAGG